RNAcentral lists this transfer RNA (67 nucleotides) under Euxiphydria potanini. Its description in RNAcentral is "tRNA-Pro". RNAcentral also lists the same sequence under 1 other name. The record is from RNAcentral. Lineage: Eukaryota; Metazoa; Arthropoda; Insecta; Hymenoptera; Xiphydriidae.
UAAAAAGUAGUUUUAUAAAUAAAACCUUAAUUUUGGAAAUUAAAAAAAUAAAUAUUUAUCUUUUUAA